RNAcentral lists this ribosomal RNA (422 nucleotides) under uncultured bacterium. Its description in RNAcentral is "bacterial SSU rRNA". It matches the Rfam family "Bacterial small subunit ribosomal RNA", at positions 102 to 518 of the family's 1533-position model. The record is from RNAcentral.
ACGGUGGAGUAACGACGUAUCCAACCUACCCUACUAGUAGAGGAAUAGCCCGGCGAAAGUCGGAUUAAUGCUCUAUGUUGUGUUUUGAGGACAUCUGACGAACACCAAAGGUUCACCGCUAUAGGAUGGGGAUGCGUCUGAUUAGCUUGUUGGCGGGGUAACGGCCCACCAAGGCGACGAUCAGUAGGGGUUCUGAGAGGAAGGUCCCCCACAUUGGUACUGAGACACGGACCAAACUCCUACGGGAGGCAGCAGUGAGGAAUAUUGGUCAAUGGGCGAGAGCCUGAACCAGCCAAGUAGCGUGCAAGGACGACUGCCCUAUGGGUUGUAAACUGCUUUUAUCAGGGAAUAAAGUGCGGCACGUGUGCCGUUUUGUAUGUAUCUGAUGAAUAAGGACCGGCUAAUUCCGUGCCAGCCGCCGC